AGCCAAUCUCAUUCGGAUUGUAGGCUGCAACUCGCCUACAUGAAGUUGGAAUCGCUAGUAAUCGCGAAUCAGAAUGUCGCGGUGAAUACGUUCCCGGGUCUUGUACACACCGCCCGUCACACCACGAGAGUUUACAACACCCGAAGUCAGUGGCCUAACCGCAAGGAGGGAGCCGCCUAAGGUGGGGUAGAUGAUUGGGGUGAAGUCGUAACAAGGUACC
RNAcentral lists this ribosomal RNA (220 nucleotides) under uncultured bacterium. RNAcentral's name for it is "partial 16S ribosomal RNA". It matches the Rfam family "Bacterial small subunit ribosomal RNA", at positions 1280 to 1500 of the family's 1533-position model. The record is from RNAcentral.